CCUACGGGGGGCAGCAGUGGGGAAUAUUGCGCAAUGGGCGAAAGCCUGACGCAGCGACGCCGCGUGAGGGAUGAAGGUCUUCGGAUCGUAAACCUCUGUCAGCAGGGAAGAACGGUCACUGUGCUAAUCAGCAGUGAAUUGACGGUACCUGCAAAGGAAGCACCGGCUAACUCCGUGCCAGCAGCCGCGGUAAUACGGAGGGUGCGAGCGUUAAUCGGAAUUACUGGGCGUAAAGCGCUCGUAGGCGGUAUGUCAAGUCAAGGGUGAAAUCCCCGCGCUCAACGUGGGAACUGCCUUUGAAACUGGCAAACUGGAGUGUGUGAGAGGAUAGUGGAAUUCCAGGUGUAGGAGUGAAAUGCGUAGAGAUCUGGAGGAACAGCAGUGGCGAAGGCGACUAUCUGGCACAUAACUGACGCUGAGGAGCGAAAGCGUGGGUAGCAAACAGGAUUAGAUACCCUUGUAGUC
Molecule: ribosomal RNA, 465 nt
Filed under: uncultured bacterium
Lineage: Bacteria
Description: partial 16S ribosomal RNA
Rfam family: Bacterial small subunit ribosomal RNA
Source: RNAcentral